AUUGAACGCUGGCGGCAUGCCUUACACAUGCAAGUCGAACGGUAACAGGUCUUCGGACGCUGACGAGUGGCGAACGGGUGAGUAAUACAUCGGAACGUGCCCAGUCGUGGGGGAUAACUACUCGAAAGAGUAGCUAAUACCGCAUACGAUCUGAGGAUGAAAGCGGGGGACCUUCGGGCCUCGCGCGAUUGGAGCGGCCGAUGGCAGAUUAGGUAGUUGGUGGGAUAAAAGCUUACCAAGCCGACGAUCUGUAGCUGGUCUGAGAGGACGACCAGCCACACUGGGACUGAGACACGGCCCAGACUCCUACGGGAGGCAGCAGUGGGGAAUUUUGGACAAUGGGCGAAAGCCUGAUCCAGCAAUGCCGCGUGCAGGAUGAAGGCCUUCGGGUUGUAAACUGCUUUUGUACGGAACGGAAAAGCUUCUCCUAAUACGAGAGGCC
This 442-nucleotide ribosomal RNA is filed under the name uncultured bacterium. Its description in RNAcentral is "bacterial SSU rRNA". It matches the Rfam family "Bacterial small subunit ribosomal RNA", at positions 30 to 468 of the family's 1533-position model. The record is from RNAcentral.